RNAcentral lists this ribosomal RNA (301 nucleotides) under uncultured bacterium. Its description in RNAcentral is "partial 16S ribosomal RNA". It matches the Rfam family "Bacterial small subunit ribosomal RNA", at positions 509 to 807 of the family's 1533-position model. The record is from RNAcentral.
CAGCAGCCACGGGAAUACGUAGGGUGCGAGCGUUAAUCGGAAUUACUGGGCGUAAAGCGUGCGCAGGCGGUUAUAUAAGACAGAUGUGAAACCCCCGGGCUUAACCUGGGACCUGCAUUUGUGACUGUAUAGCUAGAGUACGGUAGAGGGGGAUGGAAUUCCGCAUGUAGCAGUGAAAUGCGUAGAUAUGCGGAGGAACACCGAUGGCGAAGGCAAUCCCCUGGACCUGUUCUGACGCUCACGCACGAAAGCGUGGGGAGCAAACAGGAUUAGAUACCCCAGUAGUCCCUGUCUCUUAUAC